Octopus sinensis (East Asian common octopus) is the source of this 450-nucleotide long non-coding RNA. RefSeq lists it as uncharacterized. NCBI's taxonomy places the organism in Eukaryota, Metazoa, Mollusca, Cephalopoda, Octopoda, Octopodidae. The record is from RefSeq and is a predicted model, not a curated record. The transcript has 3 exons.
UAUACUAUCACAAUUAGUCUGUUCGGUAUUUUGGAAACAAGCAAUAGGAACAUGUAGAGAAUGGCAUUUACAAACUUUAUGAACCUGACUUUUUUCCGUUUUAGUUACUAAAGGACAAACUUUCUGAGAUUUCGUACGGCAGAUGGCAUUUCAGAAUAUCGUUAAAUGAAAUGGCCUACAGUGAUGACGUCAACCUAAUUCCAUGUAAUAUAGUUAUAACUGAAAAUUUUAUUUGGUUUUAUUGCAUCUGUACAUAACCAUGCAUUGUUCCUGAGAGAGAUUUUAGCUUAGCACAAUGCAAAAAUGAUAUUGUCUCGAGUCGAAGACAUUUAACAAUGAAACAUGUGAGAAUGAUGCACUGGCUCAUGACGUAUUCAGUAAAGUUGGCUCCACAGCAGCAGCAGCAGCAUCAGCAACAGGAAAAAGUGUACUUUGAUGAGAAGCUGGGUU